CGGGGGAAAGCAGGGGAUCUUCGGACCUUGCGUUAAUGGAGCGGCUGAUAUCUGAUUAGCUAGUAGGUGAGGUAAAGGCUCACCUAGGCUUCGAUCAGUAGCUGGUCCUGAGAGGACGACCCAGCCACACUGGAACUGAGACACGGUCCAGACUCCUACGGGAGGCAGCAGUGGGGAAUUUUGGACAAUGGGCGCAAGCCUGAUCCAGCCAUUCCGCGUGAGUGAAGAAGGCCUUCGGGUUGUAAAGCUCUUUCAGGUGGAAAGAAAACGCAUGGGUCAAUACCCUGUGUGGAUGACGGUACCAUCAGAAGAAGCACCGGCUAACUACGUG
Molecule: ribosomal RNA, 331 nt
Filed under: uncultured bacterium
Lineage: Bacteria
Description: bacterial SSU rRNA
Rfam family: Bacterial small subunit ribosomal RNA
Source: RNAcentral